This 397-nucleotide ribosomal RNA is filed under the name uncultured bacterium. RNAcentral describes it as "partial 16S ribosomal RNA". It matches the Rfam family "Bacterial small subunit ribosomal RNA", at positions 523 to 918 of the family's 1533-position model. The record is from RNAcentral.
AUACGUAGGUGACAAGCGUUAUCCGGAUUUACUGGGCGUAAAGGGCGUGUAGGCGGUCUUGCAAGUCAGAAGUGAAAUUCCUGAGCUCAACUCGGGCGCUGCUUCUGAAACUGCAGGACUUGAGUGCUGGAGGGGAUAGCGGAAUUCCUAGUGGAGCGGUAAAAUGCGCAGAUAUUAGGAAGAACACCGGUGGCGAAGGCGGCUAUCUGUACAGUAACUGACGCUGAGGCGCGAAAGCGUGGGGAGCAAACAGGAUUAGAUCCCCUGUUAGUCCACGCCGUAAACGAUGAAUACUAGGUGUAGGGGGUAUCGACUCCCUCUGUGCCGCAGUUAACACAAUAAGUAUUCCGCCUGGGGAGUACGGCCGCAAGGUUGAAACUCAAAGGAAUUGACGGGG